UACGUAGGCAGCGAGCGUUGUUCGGAAUUACUGGGCGUAAAGAGUGCGUAGGCGGUGCUCUAAGUCUGUCGUGAAAUCUCCCGGCUCAACUGGGAGGGUGCGGCGGAAACUGGAGUGCUAGAGUGUGGGAGAGGUAAGCGGAAUUCCUGGUGUAGCGGUGAAAUGCGUAGAUAUCAGGAGGAACACCUGCGGUGUAGACAGCUUACUGGACCACGACUGACGCUGAGGCACGAAAGCGUGGGUAGCAAACAGG
RNAcentral lists this ribosomal RNA (253 nucleotides) under uncultured bacterium. RNAcentral's name for it is "partial 16S ribosomal RNA". It matches the Rfam family "Bacterial small subunit ribosomal RNA", at positions 524 to 776 of the family's 1533-position model. The record is from RNAcentral.